AAGGCUCAUUACAUCAGUUGUGGUUCCUUGGACUGUACCCAGUUACUUGGAUAACUGCGGAAAAUCUGGAGCUAAUACAUGCCGACAGAGUCCCGACCAGAGAUGGGAGGGACGCUUUUAUUAGAUCAAAACCAAAAAUCCCCCUCGGGGGAAACGGUUUAAGGUGACUCUGAAUAACUUUGUGCCGAUCGCACGGCCCUCGCGCCGGCGACGCGUCUUUCAAAUGUCUGCCUUAUCAACUUUCGAUGGUAGGCUCUGCGCCUACCAUGGUUGUAACGGGUGACGGGGAAUCAGGGUUCGAUUCCGGAGAGGGAGCCUGAGAAACGGCUACCACAUCCAAGGAAGGCAGCAGGCGCGCAAAUUACCCACUCCCGGCUCGGGGAGGUAGUGACGAAAGAUAACGAUGCAGGACUCUUUUGAGGCCCUGUAAUCGGAAUGACUACAUUUUAAAUCUCUUAAGGAGUAUCAAUUGGAGGGCAAGUCUGGUGCCAGCAGCCGCGGUAAUUCCAGCUCCAAUAGCGUAUAUUAAAGCUGUUGCGGUUAAAAAGCUCGUAGUUGGAUCUGUGCCCCGCACCGCCGGUCCCCGCUCUCGCGGAGCGACUGGCAGGUCUUUGCGGGGCGUCCUGCCGGUGGGAGGUCUUGCCGGCGGCGGUCUCAAUUUUUCGCUCCGGGUGUACGCUCGGUCCGGGGUGUUUACGUCUGCUCGCGUUCAGUCGGCCGGGCGACCGGUACGGCGGCGGGCCGUCCCCCGUUCUCGAAGCCCGGGCGGGCCGCCGAUGCGCGCGCUCCCGGUUAUCCGAUCCUGCCGAAGGUGCUCUUCACCGAGUGUCGAGGCGGGCCGGCAUGUUUACUUUGAACAAAUUAGAGUGCUUAAAGCAGGCUGGUGACGCCUGAAUGCUGUGUGCAUGGAAUAAUGGAAUAGGACCUCGGUUCUAUUUUCUUUUGGUUUUCUGAACCAGAGGUAAUGAUUAACGGAGACAGGCGGGGGCAUUCGUAUUGCGACGUUAGAGGUGAAAUUCUUGGAUCGUCGCAAGACGAACAGAAGCGAAAGCAUUUGCCAAGGAUGUUCUCGUUGAUCAAGAACGAAAGUCAGAGGUUCGAAGGCGAUCAGAUACCGCCCUAAUUCUGACCGUAAACGCUGCCAUCUGGUUAUUCGCCCACGUUACAACUUUUAUGACUGGGCGAGCAACCCUCGGGAAACCAAAGAUUUUGGGUUCCGGGGGAAGUAUGGUUGCAAAGCUGAAACUUAAAGGAAUUGACGGAAGGGCACCACCAGGAGUGGAGCCUGCGGCUUAAUUUGACUCAACACGGGAAACCUCACCAGGCCCGGACACUGGAAGGAUUGACAGAUUGAUAGCUCUUUCUUGAUUCAGUGGGUGGUGGUGCAUGGCCGUUCUUAGUUGGUGGAGCGAUUUGUCUGGUUAAUUCCGAUAACGAACGAGACUCUGGCCUGCUAACUAGUCGAUGAUUUUUCAAUCCGGCAUCCUCUUACGGCUGCCGGCGAAAACAACUCUUCUUAGAGGGACAGGCGGCUCCUAGCCGCACGAGAUUGAGCAAUAACAGGUCUGUGAUGCCCUUAGAUGUUCUGGGCCGCACGCGCGCUACAAUGAAGGUAUCAACGUGUGUUCCUUGGCCGAGAGGCCCGGGUAACCCGCUGAACCACCUUCGUGCUUGGGACUGGGGCUUGAAAUUGUUCCCCAUGAACGAGGAAUUCCCAGUAAAGGCGUGUCACUAGCACGCCUUGAUUACGUCCCUGCCCUUUGUACACACCGCCCGUCGCUACUACCGAUUGAAUGAAUUAGUGAGGUCUUCGGACCAGCGCGCGGUUCUCGUCCCUCGGGACCCCCGUCGCUGCAGGGAAGAUGAUCGAACUUGUUCAUUUAGAGGAAGUAAAAGUCGUAACAAGGUUUCCGUAGGUGAACCU
RNAcentral lists this ribosomal RNA (1924 nucleotides) under Hoplandrothrips quadriconus. Its description in RNAcentral is "SSU rRNA". It matches the Rfam family "Eukaryotic small subunit ribosomal RNA". The record is from RNAcentral. Lineage: Eukaryota; Metazoa; Arthropoda; Insecta; Thysanoptera; Phlaeothripidae.